This is a long non-coding RNA of Ursus maritimus (polar bear), 1251 nucleotides long. The record is from Ensembl. NCBI's taxonomy places the organism in Eukaryota, Metazoa, Chordata, Mammalia, Carnivora, Ursidae.
GAUUUUGCAAGUAGAGAGAACAGGAGCAAACGAUGACCCAGUACAAGGACCAGAGUUGAGUCAGGGGUGUUUUCUGGAGAUAAGAAGGAGCCCAGGGCACAGGAGGCCACCUGGGCAAGUUUCAGUGAGGAAGGAGACAUGUCCUGAUGGAGGUUGACAAUGGGCAUCCUUGAACCCAGCAUCACCAGGGGUUGUACUAAAGGGCUCAGUCUGGGUUUCUCGCCAUCCAUCAUUGCAAGCCUCUCUGCACUUCCUGUGCUCCCUGGGUAUAUAAUGCUGUGCUGCAUGUUCUCAGGAAAUAGCGAGCACUCUGGGUCCAGACCAGUUCUUUCAAGGGAACGCCAGGGUCCAUCUGGUCCAAUGUGGCCCUCAUGGCAUCUUUGGUUUUGUCAUCUCCAAAGUGGACAUGCUUGGCUCUUUCCUUCUGGGAUUACCUGUAUCCAGGCCCUGGCUGCAAAGGCAUCAUCGGACUACAGGACCAGAGCACUCUGUCCCUCAUGACCCCCGCAUCCAUCCCCAUAUUCCAAAUCCAGUGGUCUGCCUGGUAGAGGGGGAUGUGAUUCUUUUCCAGCUUCAUAUUCUUCCCCACAAUCGCUCAGCCAGUCACUACCCUGUGUACCAGAUGCAGCAUCUGUUUAACAGCAACCCCCACUGGGACUUUGGGGCCUUCAGGAGACUCAGCCACCUGGUACAAGAGACUCACCUCAACUUCUCAAGGUUUGCCCACCAGUUCCUAGAUCCAGGCACAUAUGUGUUUCGAGACAAUGGACUGCCUGAAAGCGUCAUCGUGGUGCUGGUGAAGAAGAAAGGAGUGGCCUGUGAUCCCAGUCUAUCCCCCGUACAGCCCUCCUCCCCGUAUCAGCUUACCAGGCAUGGGGUUCUCAGGCACAGGCUGCCAAACCUGGGCCCAGACUGGGCAGUGAUCACAGGAGAGCCAUUCCCUGUGAAGAUCCUAGAGGACUUCAGCAUCCGUACCCUCUACGACAAGCUUGAGGACCAGAGCCUGCAUGUGGCAGCCCAGCUGAACAAGCACAGGAGUGAUGCACUAGCCUUCUACAGGGGUGCAAGCCAGCAGCUCCAGGGCCUCAAGGACAUUCUGCAGCAUCUCAGCACAACUGAACAGCAAACUCUGGGCAGGGGUAGAGACCCAGGGAAGGAGGUCAAAGCUGCUUCCAGGACAUACACUGGGCAGAGUGAGGAAUCUUGGGGCCGCCACACUGCAGCUUCACCCAGGGAGCACUGGCAGCGUCC